AGGACGAACGCUGGCGGCGUGCUUAACACAUGCAAGUCGAGCGGAAAGGCCCUUCGGGGUACUCGAGCGGCGAACGGGUGAGUAACACGUGAGUAAUCUGCCCCUAGCUCUGGGAUAGCUCCGGGAAACCGGGAUUAAUACCAGAUACGACCACUUUAGACAUCUGUUGUGGUGGAAAGAAUUUUGGCUAGGGAUGAGCUCGCGGCCUAUCAGCUUGUUGGUGAGGUAACGGCUCACCAAGGCGACGACGGGUAGCCGGCCUGAGAGGGCGACCGGCCACACUGGGACUGAGACACGGCCCAGACUCCUACGGGAGGCAGCAGUGGGGAAUAUUGCGCAAUGGGCGAAAGCCUGACGCAGCGACGCCGCGUGGGGGAUGGAAGGCCUUCGGGUUGUAAACCCCUUUCAGCAGGGACGAAGCGAAAGUGACGGUACCUGCAGAAGAAGCGCCGGCUAACUACGUGCCAGCAGCCGC
RNAcentral lists this ribosomal RNA (475 nucleotides) under uncultured bacterium. Its description in RNAcentral is "SSU rRNA". It matches the Rfam family "Bacterial small subunit ribosomal RNA", at positions 26 to 518 of the family's 1533-position model. The record is from RNAcentral.